RNAcentral lists this transfer RNA (61 nucleotides) under Camelus bactrianus (Bactrian camel). It matches the Rfam family "tRNA", at positions 6 to 65 of the family's 71-position model. From Rfam's summary of the family: Transfer RNA (tRNA) molecules are approximately 80 nucleotides in length. Lineage: Eukaryota; Metazoa; Chordata; Mammalia; Artiodactyla; Camelidae. RNAcentral also lists the same sequence under 1 other name. The record is from Rfam by way of RNAcentral.
UAUAGCUUAGUGGCAGAGCACAUGCUUAGCAUGCAUGAGGUCCUGGGUUCAAUCCCCACUA